This 463-nucleotide ribosomal RNA is filed under the name uncultured bacterium. RNAcentral's name for it is "partial 16S ribosomal RNA". It matches the Rfam family "Bacterial small subunit ribosomal RNA", at positions 28 to 507 of the family's 1533-position model. The record is from RNAcentral.
GACGAACGCUGGCGGCGUGCUUAACACAUGCAAGUCGAACGGUGAACCUCUUCGGAGGGGAUCAGUGGCGAACGGGUGAGUAGCACGUGGGCAACCUGCCCCCGGCUCUGGGAUAACUCCAAGAAAUUGGGGCUAAUACCGGAUGUUCACCGCUUCCCGCAUGGGUGGUGGUGCAAAGGGUUUCCGGCUGGGGAUGGGCCCGCGGCCUAUCAGCUUGUUGGUGGGGUAGUGGCCUACCAAGGCGACGACGGGUAGCCGGCCUGAGAGGGUGACCGGCCACCCUGGGACUGAGACACGGCCCAGACUCCUACGGGAGGCAGCAGUGGGGAAUAUUGCGCAAUGGGCGGAAGCCUGACGCAGCGACGCCGCGUGGGGGAUGACGGCCUUCGGGUUGUAAACCUCUUUCAGCAGGGACGAAGCGCAAGUGACGGUACCUGCAGAAGAAGCACCGGCCAACUACGUG